Molecule: long non-coding RNA, 474 nt
Organism: Rattus norvegicus (Norway rat)
Lineage: Eukaryota; Metazoa; Chordata; Mammalia; Rodentia; Muridae
Source: RefSeq, a predicted model, not a curated record
UUAUCUCUCACCUAGCACAAAAUCACCCCCAGAUGGACCAAGCUCUGCACUGUAGAACCUGAAGUUACCAGAGAACGUAUCGAAUAUUCUACAAGAUGCAGACAGAGAAACCAGAGAGCCCUGUCCUGAGUGAACGAAUUGAAAGCUGGGUCUGGAAAGGGGCAUAUGCCAUAGCACAGUGGUUAGCUACUGUCAUUCAGAGGCGCUCCAGUUUGGUGUCUGUUUCCCUUCAUCUGUCACACAUUUGUCUCCACAUCUCAGAGCAGACACGGACCCGUUCGACAUUCUGUGCCUUCGCAGCUAAGACUCACAGGUGAGAAACCUUGGUCUCCUGGUUACAGAAUCACAACACACAUCAAUGUCUGCCUGGCUCCACAAUGAAGAUCCUCCCCUGCCUUUCUGAAGUGGUGCGUGCUGUGUGGACUUACAUAAGUGAAAUACCGGCUCGAAGAAGCAAGAACAAAUUCAACAACA